UUCCGUAGGUGAACCUGCGGAAGGAUCAUUAAAGAAUGUAGGCCUCACAGCCGUAUUCUCACCCUUUGUAUACCAAUACCGCGUUGCCUUGGCAGGCUGUUACAGGCCUGCCAGUGGAUCAUAAACCCUAGAAUCUCUGCUGUCUGAGUACUAUACAAUAGUUAAAACUUUCAACAACGGAUCUCUUGGUUCUGGCAUCGAUGAAGAACGCAGCGAAAUGCGAUAAGUAAUGUGAAUUGCAGAAUUCAGUGAAUCAUCGAAUCUUUGAACGCACAUUGCGCCCUCUGGUAUUCCAGGGGGCAUGCCUGUUCGAGCGUCAUUACAACCCUCACGCCUCGCGUGGUCUUGGGCUCGCCCUGUAGGGCCUGCCUCAAAGUCAGUGGCGGCACCGUCUGACCCCUAAGCGUAGUAACAUCACCUCGCUUCUGGGCGCUGGAUGGAGGCUUGCCAUCAAACCCCCCCAAUUUUUACAGGUUGACCUCGGAUCAGGUAGGGAUACCCGCUGAACUUAAGCAUAUCAAUAAGCGGAGGAAAA
RNAcentral lists this ribosomal RNA (535 nucleotides) under Spathularia flavida. RNAcentral describes it as "eukaryotic LSU rRNA". The stretch from base 166 to 319 matches the Rfam family "5.8S ribosomal RNA". Lineage: Eukaryota; Fungi; Ascomycota; Leotiomycetes; Rhytismatales; Cudoniaceae. The record is from RNAcentral.